GGCCGCGGGAAUUCGAUUCAGGCCUAACACAUGCAAGUCGAGCGGUAGAGAGAAGCCUGCUUCUCUUGAGAGCGGCGGACGGGUGAGUAAUGCCUAGGAAUCUGCCUGGUAGUGGGGGAUAACGUUCGGAAACGGACGCUAAUACCGCAUACGUCCUACGGGAGAAAGCAGGGGACCUUCGGGCCUUGCGCUAUCAGAUGAGCCUAGGUCGGAUUAGCUAGUUGGUGAGGUAAUGGCUCACCAAGGCUACGAUCCGUAACUGGUCUGAGAGGAUGAUCAGUCACACUGGAACUGAGACGCGGUCCAGACUCCUACGGGAGGCAGCAGUGGGGAAUAUUGGACAAUGGGCGAAAGCCUGAUCCAGCCAGGCCGCGUGUGUGAAGAAGGUCUUCGGAUUGUAAAGCAAUGUAAGUUGGGAGGGAGGGCAUUAACCUAAUACGUUAGUGUUUGACGUACCGACAG
This 462-nucleotide ribosomal RNA is filed under the name uncultured bacterium. RNAcentral's name for it is "bacterial SSU rRNA". It matches the Rfam family "Bacterial small subunit ribosomal RNA", at positions 39 to 484 of the family's 1533-position model. The record is from RNAcentral.